RNAcentral lists this ribosomal RNA (253 nucleotides) under uncultured bacterium. RNAcentral's name for it is "partial 16S ribosomal RNA". It matches the Rfam family "Bacterial small subunit ribosomal RNA", at positions 524 to 776 of the family's 1533-position model. The record is from RNAcentral.
UACAGAGGGUGCGAGCGUUAAUCGGAAUUACUGGGCGUAAAGCGCACGUAGGUGGCUAUUUAAGUCGAUUGUGAAAUCCCUGGGCUUAACCUGGGAACUGCAGUCGAUACUGACUAGCUAGAGUGUGGUAGAGGGAAGUGGAAUUUCCGGUGUAGCGGUGAAAUGCGUAGAUAUCGGAAGGAACACCAGUGGCGAAGGCGGGUCUCUGGGCCGAUACUGACGCUGAGGAGCGAAAGCGUGGGGAGCGAACAGG